This 585-nucleotide ribosomal RNA is filed under the name uncultured bacterium. Its description in RNAcentral is "partial 16S ribosomal RNA". It matches the Rfam family "Bacterial small subunit ribosomal RNA", at positions 355 to 1375 of the family's 1533-position model. The record is from RNAcentral.
UGGGGAAUUUUGGACAAUGGGCGAAAGCCUGAUCCAGCAAUGCCGCGUGUGUGAAGAAGGCCUUCGGGUUGUAAAGCACUUUUGUCCGGAAAGAAAUCCUUGGCUCUAAUACAGUCGGGGGAUGACGGUACCGGAAGAAUAAGCACCGGCUAACUACGUGCCAGCAGCCGCGGUAAUACGUAGGGUGCAAGCGUUAAUCGGAAUUACUGGGCGUAAAGCGUGCGCAGGCGGUUUGCUAAGACCGAUGUGAAAUCCCCGGGCUCAACCUGGGAACUGCAUUGGUGACUGGCAGGCUAGAGUAUGGCAGAGGGGGGUAGAAUUCCACGUGUAGCAGUGAAAUGCGUAGAGAUGUGGAGGAAUACCGAUGGCGAAGGCAGCCCCCUGGGCCAAUACUGACGCUCAUGCACGAAAGCGUGGGGAGCAAACAGGAUUAGAUACCCUGGUAGUCCACGCCCUAAACGAUGUCAACUAGUUGUUGGGGAUUCAUUUCCUUAGUAACGUAGCUAACGCGUGAAGUUGACCGCCUGGGGAGUACGGUCGCAAGACUGAAACUCAAAGGAAUUGACGGGGUCAUAGCUGUUUCCU